CACGGAAAAAAGUGGUGGUGCUAUUUUCGGCUCAGUGAUAUAGUACAUGCUGUGUUUAGUAUAAUAAAUAUAUAUAUAAGACACAAAUU
Molecule: long non-coding RNA, 89 nt
Organism: Cotesia glomerata
Lineage: Eukaryota; Metazoa; Arthropoda; Insecta; Hymenoptera; Braconidae
Exons: 3
Source: RefSeq, a predicted model, not a curated record